UACGAAGGGGGCUAGCGUUGCUCGGAAUCACUGGGCGUAAAGCGCACGUAGGCGGCUUUCUAAGUCAGGGGUGAAAUCCUGGAGCUCAACUCCAGAACUGCCUUUGAUACUGGGAAGCUUGAGUCCGGAAGAGGUGAGUGGAACUCCGAGUGUAGAGGUGAAAUUCGUAGAUAUUCGGAAGAACACCAGUGGCGAAGGCGGCUCACUGGUCCGGUACUGACGCUGAGGUGCGAAAGCGUGGGGAGCAAACAGG
This 253-nucleotide ribosomal RNA is filed under the name uncultured bacterium. Its description in RNAcentral is "partial 16S ribosomal RNA". It matches the Rfam family "Bacterial small subunit ribosomal RNA", at positions 524 to 776 of the family's 1533-position model. The record is from RNAcentral.